AGGCUGCAACCCGCCCUGCAUGAAGUCGGAAUCGCUAGUAAUCGCGAGUCAGCAUAUCGCGGUGAAUACGUUCCCGGGUCUUGUACACACCGCCCGUCACACCAUGGGAGUUGGCAACACCCGAAGUCGAUGAGCUAACCUUUUAGGAGGCAGUCGCCUAAGGUGGGGUUGAUAACUGGGGUGAAGUCGUAACAAGGUACC
This 201-nucleotide ribosomal RNA is filed under the name uncultured bacterium. Its description in RNAcentral is "partial 16S ribosomal RNA". It matches the Rfam family "Bacterial small subunit ribosomal RNA", at positions 1302 to 1500 of the family's 1533-position model. The record is from RNAcentral.